ACCUGGGUGGCUCAGUCGGUUAAGCGUCUGACUUCGGCUCAGGUCAUGAUCUCUCGGUUCGUGGGUUCAAGUCCCAUGUCAGGCU
RNAcentral lists this transfer RNA (85 nucleotides) under Felis catus (domestic cat). It matches the Rfam family "tRNA". From Rfam's summary of the family: Transfer RNA (tRNA) molecules are approximately 80 nucleotides in length. Lineage: Eukaryota; Metazoa; Chordata; Mammalia; Carnivora; Felidae. The record is from Rfam by way of RNAcentral.